Molecule: ribosomal RNA, 253 nt
Filed under: uncultured bacterium
Lineage: Bacteria
Description: partial 16S ribosomal RNA
Rfam family: Bacterial small subunit ribosomal RNA
Source: RNAcentral
UACGGAGGGUGCAAACGUUGCUCGGAAUCAUUGGGCGUAAAGCGCACGUAGGCGGUCCAGCAAGUCGGGUGUGAAAGCCCUCGGCUUAACCGGGGAAGUGCAUUCGAAACUACUGGACUUGAGUACUGAAGAGGAUCGCGGAAUUCCCGGUGUAGAGGUGAAAUUCGUAGAUAUCGGGAGGAACACCAGUGGCGAAGGCGGCGAUCUGGGCAGAUACUGACGCUGAGGUGCGAAAGCGUGGGGAGCAAACAGG